Prunus dulcis (almond) is the source of this 417-nucleotide long non-coding RNA. RefSeq lists it as uncharacterized. The transcript is spliced from 3 exons. Lineage: Eukaryota; Viridiplantae; Streptophyta; Magnoliopsida; Rosales; Rosaceae. The record is from RefSeq and is a predicted model, not a curated record.
UCCUAUAUUGAUUAUACGAAACGUUCAAAGCUGGUUACGCUUCUGCACCCUAUUAGCGAUACGCUGGCACGAGUGCUGUUCGAUAUGCAUUUUUAUGAUGAUUCUGAGGUUGAAGAGGUGAAGCAAAAGGGGCUGACGAUGUCGAUGUAUACGCCAUUCUCAGUGUGCAGCAUUGCAGAUGUGCCACAACAACGAGAUGGUGCGUCUUGCGGAAUCUUGACCGUCAAAUUCAUCGAGCAUCUCAGUGCUGGGAUGUCGGUAGAUAAAGUUGACCCUUUGAAGAUCAAAUAUUACCGACUCAAGCUUGCAAUUGAGGGUUUAAGGGGGGAGGCAUAUUUAUGAGGUCGGUCUCAACCAAGGGUUGAUUGCAAUAUUCCAACCAAGAUGACCAUACACUGUUAUUUGAUGUAGGUUUUU